This 497-nucleotide ribosomal RNA is filed under the name uncultured bacterium. RNAcentral's name for it is "partial 16S ribosomal RNA". It matches the Rfam family "Bacterial small subunit ribosomal RNA", at positions 28 to 507 of the family's 1533-position model. The record is from RNAcentral.
GAUGAACGCUGGCGGCGUGCCUAAUACAUGCAAGUCGAGCGAACAGACGAGGAGCUUGCUCCUUUGACGUUAGCGGCGGACGGGUGAGUAACACGUAGGUAACCUACCUAUAAGACUGGGAUAACUUCGGGAAACCGGAGCUAAUACCGGAUAAUAUUUUGAACCGCAUGGUUCGAUAGUGAAAGAUGGUUUUGCUAUCACUUAUAGAUGGAUCUGCGCCGUAUUAGCUAGUUGGUAAGGUAACGGCUUACCAAGGCAACGAUACGUAGCCGACCUGAGAGGGUGAUCGGCCACACUGGAACUGAGACACGGUCCAGACUCCUACGGGAGGCAGCAGUAGGGAAUCUUCCGCAAUGGGCGAAAGCCUGACGGAGCAACGCCGCGUGAGUGAUGAAGGUCUUCGGAUCGUAAAACUCUGUUAUUAGGGAAGAACAAACGUGUAAGUAACUGUGCACGUCUUGACGGUACCUAAUCAGAAAGCCACGGCUAACUACGUG